This is a long non-coding RNA of Esox lucius (northern pike), 581 nucleotides long. RefSeq lists it as uncharacterized. NCBI's taxonomy places the organism in Eukaryota, Metazoa, Chordata, Actinopteri, Esociformes, Esocidae. The record is from RefSeq and is a predicted model, not a curated record. The transcript has 3 exons.
GUUUCAGCAUCUUGUGUAUUUUACCCAUACUUCAUGUGUGAAUCAUGUAUGUGUUUACCACCCAGUCACGCAUGUGCCAGUGGACCCAGUGGACAUUCCCAGCCUGGUUGAAACCUGGAAGUACAGAAGUGGUCAGCUUCAAAGGACUUCUCAAGACUGUCCAAACCGAAUGGAAACCAGGCUAACAUUUUGCUUCUCUGGAGCCAAAAAAGCAAUCUUAGGAGGACCUGACCUCUACAACCAUUAAUCAGUACUACCUAGCCUGAAGACUCCUAGAAGAUCCUUUCCAAAGUUCACAUGGUUCUGUUGCUGAUCUUGUUUGUUUCUGUCACCACCUGCUGUCGCUGGCCAAGGCCUACCCGCUCCCAAAUAAAUUACUGCUGGUCACCUAGAAAUGUGAAUAACUUGAUGAAGUGUGGCAAAAUGUAAUUUUCACCUGGCACAGCCAGCUCUUGUCUUGGUUUCUGAUCUAUUUUUGGUAGUUUUUUCCUAGCCAUUACACUUCAACAUCUUAUUGCUUGCUCUUAAUCCUGGGUAGCUGUGACAACUGCUCUGUAAAAUAAACUUGACUGGUCCUUGUA